Long non-coding RNA from Dromaius novaehollandiae (emu), 1190 nucleotides. RefSeq lists it as uncharacterized. NCBI's taxonomy places the organism in Eukaryota, Metazoa, Chordata, Aves, Casuariiformes, Dromaiidae. The transcript is spliced from 4 exons. The record is from RefSeq and is a predicted model, not a curated record.
UAUUCCUUAGGGAAACAAGCAGCUGAUUUGAGAAGCUAGUGGAUGUUUCUCAUAGUAAGAUCACUUUGAAGAAAGUAAAAAUGAAAACCAACAGAAACAAUAAGCCGAAGCCCAAGUUGUAUGAAACCUUCUCACAUCAAGUCUACCUGUUCCAGCUUCUGGAGUCUGGUGUUUGUUGAGAAUCUUAAGCCUUCAUUUGUAGAAUCCUUGUGCCUCUUUUCUGCAUUUUCCCCCUAAACUUAUCUGAAGUUUAUUUGAAGAAUAAUGAAGAAUGAAGAAAUAAGAAUGAAGAACAUUUUCAUCUUCAGACAGCUACUGGCAAGCUGGCUCUGAUCAUAAGGAGACUUUCAUACUUUGCUUAACUAGAAUUUGCCAGUUUUUCUCCACCAAGAACAGAAGGUACCUACUGAUUUCUUUGCUGGUAUCCUGGAGAAAAGCAGUUUGAGACUGUGAGCAGAAGUCCCAUUUUCAUGCUUUGGCCUAGCUCUUUUAAAGUACUUGCCCUUUUCAUUUGGAGAUGCUCACUCCCAGUACUGGCUCAGUCUUGCUCUCUGGCCACUCCUGUGGGACAAGCUCCUGCAGCUCUGAGAGGACUGCUAAAAAUACACAGCCAUUUUCAACCUCUGAGUGUACAGAAACUGGACAUUCUAUCCUGAUAUGUCUGCAAUCCUAUUAAAGGCUUUCUCUGAAAUGUAUUUCUGGGUGUUUGCCAAGAUGCAGCUUCACUCUGAAAAGGGCAAAAAUUAUUUUUGUAACUCACUCUUACAGUAUUGAGUGACAGGAAUUAACCAUAUGAACUUAACACGCUUCCAUCAAAAACUCAAAUUUCUUCACUAUAAGAAUAAAACCAGCUGCUGUUGGGAAAGAGGCACCUGACUCUGUUCAGGCUACACAAAUAGUUUGUGGCCACUGAACAUAUAGGAGAUAUUUCUACCAACAUCUGGGAGCUGCUAGAAGAGCUCUGUCAAGACAGCAUUAUAUAGUAUGGAUGAAUAACAAUUUUUUCUUUACCUCAGUAAGUUCUUAGUGCUUAGUGUCUUAUAUUGAUAUCUGAUUUUCCUGACAAAAGUCUGUAUUUACUUUAUUGCUGCUUGACCGUUUGUGUAUACUUCUUCCAACCCUCAAACUGUCAAAAUGUUAAAGACUUCUCUGAACUAUUGUACGAGUAAGUUGGGUUUAAAAUAUUAGAG